UCGCAUUUAUUUUCAGCACAAUUAGGAGUAGUUCUAGUCUAGUUCUAGUUUAGCCCUAGUUUAGUAUUCCAAUCCCCAAAUUCUCCGCCUCUCCUCGACUCUACGUCGAUUAGAGGAGUCUAGGUCGGCCGGCCCGAGCCUAGACAACUCCUAGGAUCUCUCCUCCCCGACGGGGUCCCUCCCGGGAGCGAGAUCCAGGCGCCGCUGGCGAUCUUCCGCCGCCCCUGCGCACGCGCGGACCGUCCGACCGUCAGGCAGGGAACCCGAGCUCCUGCUCCAGGUCGCGGACCGUCCGGCCCUGUGCCGCGGACCGUCCGCGCCUGACCAGAGAGCACCGCCACCUCACGCCAGGUCGCGGACCGUCCGGCCCUGUGCCGCGGACCGUCCGCGCCUGACCAGAGAGCACCGCCACCUCACGCCAGGUCGCGGACCGUCCGGCCCUGUGCCGCGGACCGUCCGCGCCUGACCAGAGAGCACCGCCGCCGGUUCUUUUGAAGUGAUUGGCACCUCCAAAAAGGUGUCAACGUACUUUUUGGCGACUCCGCUGGGGACUAGGUGUCUAGAUCUGCUAAAAAUCGGCCCAUAAAUGGCCGGUUCUAAGGAUCACACCAAGAUCUCCACUACCAACAUCAUCAAGCCGGCCAUGGAGGCGCUCCCGGCUGAUGACCAAAGGCCCUUUGAAGACCUCGUAAUGCGCGAUGAGAAGGAGGUGAUGCGGCAAUGGAACGAACAACACGACAAGGAAGAGGCGGAACUACUGCAUAAACUCUCCGAAAGGCGCAAGGAGGCGGCAGACAAGUACUUGUCACACUUCACGGUAGAUCGCCACCAGAAGAUCGUCCGUCAAGGGGAGAUCGAUAUGGAAUCUCUCCUACCUCCACUUCAGGGUCCCGCUGUAAGUACUCCAGACCUAUCUCUUACGACUUUCAUGGAUCAACGAGGAGAUCAAUUAAAGCAAUAUGUAGAUGAAUCUAUUAAAAUGCAUUUACGUGCAUACGAGAAAUCAGCUGCUCCUAACUUUCCAUCACGAGAGUCUAAUACAGUGCCACCCACGUCAAACACAUCGGCUAUAAACGGGUCACCCUUGACCCAGCCAUCAUAUGGUAUGCCGAUGCACGCUUUCGUGUCACCAUCACAGCCGCAACCACUAGGCACACGGCAGGUACUGGACGCGACCGGACCGUCCGAGCAUCAUCUCAGACAGUCCGGUUAUACCGCGGACCGUCCGGCGUAUUUCGCCGGGCCGUCCGACCAGAUGCAGGCCCGCACGCAAAACACUCAGGUCGCACCGUACAUGGCCGGACCAUCAGGGUACAACCCUGAACACUUCGGCCCCAUCACGGACCGUCCGGUGCAUCACGCCGGACCGUCCGGAUAUGUUGCGAACCGUUCGCCAUCUUACGCCGGACCGUCCGGAUAUGGCAUGAACCGGCCGACGUAUUACGCUGGACCAUCCGACUCUACACGAGUCCACGCGCAGACUACCCAAGUCGCGCCAUAUAUGACCGAUCCGUCCGGGUACAGCCCUGGACCAUUCGGCCCGAUCGCGGACCGUCCAGUUAUCUACGACAGACGGUCUGGGUACGAGACUACCCAUGUAGCACCAUAUACGGCUGGACAAUCCGGAUAUACCUUCGAACCAUUUGGCCAGGUCGCGGACCAUCCGGCCUCUUAUGCCGGACCGUCCGGAUAUGCAUACGCAGAGCCGAGAGCUGCGCAAUACGCACAGUUUCCGCAUUCAUCGCAGCAACAUUAUGGUGCCCCACCAGUAACACAUUAUAAUCAUGCCAUACCACCUCAUGGACAUAGGGCUGAAUACUGUUCGGCCACAAGAGAGCCUGAGAGGUAUAGGGCAGGAGUUGGUGACAUUAAUAGGACACCUAGCGCACACCUCAAACAUCCCUGGGAGGAAAGCCGACAGAGUGAUGUCAGGCAACCUGAGGUUUCCACCCACAAACUCAAUAGAUGGUCGCCAGAUAUGGCGGAGAGGAUCAGAGACGAGGUAGCCGGGAUGUUCAGGGACAAACUCGGUGUUAGUUUGUCAGGUACAGGGCAAUCGUAUCGGAAGCCUUAUAGCCACCGAUUCGACACCGUGCCAUAUCCACAGGGAACUAGAAUACCAGACUUCUCUAAGUUUUCUGGUGAAGGUGGGAAAAGCACACACGAACAUAUUAGCCAAUUCAUAGCACACUUAGGAGAAUUGGCUGAUGGGGAAGCCUACCGCGUUCGUUUAUUUUCGUUGUCCCUUACUGAUACUGCAUUUGCAUGGUACGCAACUUUGCCACCAAACUCUAUUAACUCUUGGGAAGAAUUAGAGCAGAAAUUUCAUGAACACUUCUUCUCAGGAGAACAUGAAUUAGAAUUGGCUGACUUAGCCUCAGUCCGACAGGGGCCUGAAGAAUCGGUUAAUGACUAUAUCCGGAGAUUCCGGGACACUAGAAACCGAUGCUUUCAGAUUCAUGUCGCGGAAAAACAACUAACAGGGCUAGCUUUCAAUGGGUUGCGACCCUACUUAAAAGAAAAAUUAGAUGGUACCCAAUUCUUUUCGCUAGUGCACUUGCACCAGCGGGCUAUGACAUGUGAAAGCCGAAGUAAGGAAACAUCAAAAUCGGCUAGCCAUAAGAUGCAUCUAGUGGGAUAUGAUAACUCGGACGAUGAAUCCACGGAUGUAUACACCGCUGAACUGGUUUGGCCAGGGCAGGCUAAACCUUCACCGUGUUCUGCUUUACAGUCGAUUCGAAAGAAUCGACAAGAAGAAGUUAAGUUUACGUUUAAUGUUGCCAAAUGCGAUAAAAUAUUUGACGAGUUACUGAAAAACGGCAACAUUAAAUUAACUCAUACUAUUCCUCCUCCUGAUGAAUUAAAGAGGCGUGCUUAUUGUAAGUGGCAUAAUUCCUUUUCUCAUGCCACCAAUGAUUGUAAUGUUUUUCGUCGACAGAUACAAUCGGCCAUAAAUGAGUGUCGAUUGGCUUUUCAGGAGAUGCAAGUAGACACACAACCCUUUCCUGUUAAUACAAUAGAACUCACAUGCAAAAAGGUCUUGGUUCGGCCCGAAAUGGCCGAUAAAGGCAAAGGCAAGGGUAUCGUCAUUGGCGAUCCCCGCAUGUCAGAUAUAUCACAAAAAGAGAUUGCUCGAAAGGCUUCGGACGAGAAGGCUAAAAAGUCCGAAGACACUGGGGGGCAGGCACAGUUAAUGAACCAAACACAUCAGCCUAGCCCGAACAUCGUAGAUGGUCCGGCACCUACGUGCGGACGAUCCGGUGCUCAGACAAACGGUCCGGCUAACUCAGCCGGACAGUCCCCCUAUGACCAAAGGCGUCAACCUCUACACAAAGCAAGGAAAAAGGCGCAAGGUCAAAGCACAUAUAAUCGGCUGAUCAAAGCCGAUCCUACUUUUGAUCAGUUGCUCUCCAAAAAUGCUAGCAAAAAGACUGUUCCACGUGAUCGGUCAACAAAGAAACCCCAGCCACCUGCUAAAACAAAACGGUUAAACAAAACGGCCCGAAAGGCGACACAACAAGCAUCGCCUAUUCAUUCUAUGAGACCAGGGUACUUUCCACCUAUUUACUCAUCGUCGGUAUAUUAUCCUGUUCAAACAUGGAAUGGCACGAUGAUGAAUCCAUGGUACAUGUAUAGUCCCUUCGUCUAUCCAGACUGGGGGGCACCUCCAUUCUAUUCCUUUUGAUCCAUUGAUCAAAUGGUCAUGGCCGAGAAAGAUACAAUCCGAAACGGCCUUUAUAUUGGUGCUUUAUUGAAUAAUCUCCAUAUCGAAAAGCCGGUGACUUACAUCAGGUUUAGUUCAUAUGCUUUUGGUUCGUCGACCUUCACCAAAAGGCAGGGGGCAUAUGUUGGAACCCAAAAUGACCGUGCGGACGGUCCGGCCCGGAGGCCGGACGGUCCGCGGUCCGGACCGUCCGCGGUGGUGGCGCGGACGGUCCGCGCGUGCGCAGAGUCAGUUAGGGUUCCUAGUUUCUCGCGGGAUUUGUUACCUAAAACCGCGGGAUUAACUCGGAAAUCAGUUGGAAGCGGAUCCAGACCUCCCCCUUUAUAUAGAUGAAGGGAUACGGCCGAUUGAACCCCCAACAAUCGAACCAAUACCACUUCUAUCUCGCAUUUAUUUUCAGCACAAUUAGGAGUAGUUCUAGUCUAGUUCUAGUUUAGCCCUAGUUUAGUAUUCCAAUCCCCAAAUUCUCCGCCUCUCCUCGACUCUACGUCGAUUAGAGGAGUCUAGGUCGGCCGGCCCGAGCCUAGACAACUCCUAGGAUCUCUCCUCCCCGACGGGGUCCCUCCCGGGAGCGAGAUCCAGGCGCCGCCGGCGAUCUUCCGCCGCCCCUGCGCACGCGCGGACCGUCCGACCGUCAGGCAGGGAACCCGAGCUCCUGCUCCAGGUCGCGGACCGUCCGGCCCUGUGCCGCGGACCGUCCGCGCCUGACCAGAGAGCACCGCCGCCUCACGCCAGGUCGCGGACCGUCCGGCCCUGUGCCGCGGACCGUCCGCGCCUGACCAGAGAGCACCGCCGCCGGUUCUUUUGAAGUGAUUGGCGCCUCCAAAAAGGUGUCAACACAGUGUUUUUGUUUUAAU
Molecule: long non-coding RNA, 4581 nt
Filed under: Zea mays
Lineage: Eukaryota; Viridiplantae; Streptophyta; Magnoliopsida; Poales; Poaceae
Description: long non-coding RNA (ZMAY_LNC002601)
Source: RNAcentral